UAGAGAAUGUCUGCAGGUUGAAUCUCUAGC
Molecule: non-coding RNA, 30 nt
Filed under: Mus musculus (house mouse)
Lineage: Eukaryota; Metazoa; Chordata; Mammalia; Rodentia; Muridae
Source: RNAcentral